CCUUAAGCUUCACUCUUAUCAACUCCGAUUCCGCGAUCCUUCCUAGUCUUGUUCUUUUCUUAGCUCGUCUCCGAUUCGUUUUAUGUCGUUGUUGCCGGCGAUUAGGUAAAACGUCGGGAGAGGAGAAAUGGUGCGUUGUAACGGGCGGUAAAGGCUUCGCCGCCGGCCGUCAUUUGGUUGUUGUUCGAAUCGCUGAUUUGAUUUAUAGCAUUGAUCUCGAAUCCUACGAGGAGAACCGAGUCCUCGGCGAAGGUUUAAGGUCCGGUCGUGCUCACUACAUUUCUACUGAUCUUCGCCGCGAAGCUCAAAUACUCGGAGGCUUAUAGUAGCUUUGAAAGGAGUUGAGGUAGUUUUUCACAUGGCGUUUCAUCAGUUUGUUAAUCUUCAAGGUUGGAACACUGAAACUUAUAUCAAGGAGUUAUUUCUCAAGGUUGGGUUAAUGGAGUGAGCAAGAGGCAUGGUUGUCAUUACAAAGUUGAUUCUUAAUUAUAGAUAACAUUAUGCCAUUCUUGUCAUGAUUAUCUUGAUUUUGUUAUUUCCAAGUUUAUUGAAGAGAUAACAAACAUGAAUUAUAACUGUUUCUUUAGUACAUAUUAUAAAUUGAGAGAAAAGAUAACAACAACAAAUUUUAAUUUUUGAUUUUUGA
Molecule: long non-coding RNA, 646 nt
Organism: Gossypium raimondii (Peruvian cotton)
Lineage: Eukaryota; Viridiplantae; Streptophyta; Magnoliopsida; Malvales; Malvaceae
Exons: 3
Source: RefSeq, a predicted model, not a curated record